RNAcentral lists this ribosomal RNA (274 nucleotides) under uncultured bacterium. Its description in RNAcentral is "partial 16S ribosomal RNA". It matches the Rfam family "Bacterial small subunit ribosomal RNA", at positions 523 to 796 of the family's 1533-position model. The record is from RNAcentral.
AUACGGAGGGUGCGAGCGUUAAUCGGAAUUACUGGGCGUAAAGCGCGCGUAGGCGGUUUGGUCAGUCGGAUGUGAAAGCCCCAGGCUCAACCUGGGAAUGGCAUUCGAUACUGCCUGGCUAGAGUAUGGUAGAGGGAAGUGGAAUUUCCGGUGUAGCGGUGAAAUGCGUAGAUAUCGGAAGGAACACCAGUGGCGAAGGCGACUUCCUGGGCCAAUACUGACGCUAAGGUGCGAAAGCGUGGGGAGCAAACAGGAUUAGAUACCCCGGUAGUCC